AGUCAGAAUAAACUAAGACUUAUGAUAAACUAUAGCCUACAUUUUCUCUAAACUGACACCUCAGUAUUUGUCUUUUUACCAUGCAGGCUAAAUUCAGUUUGUUGUAUAUGUGACCUGACGCGUGUCUCUUGUUGGACACGGAGGAAGUGAAUGGGGAGGAGAGCACGUGCUGUGAGGGAUUAAUCGCAUGGUCUGGAUGAGGCCCAAAAGUGAGCUUCAACACCUCCAGCCAAACUCCAAGGCCGCUUCAUCUACAAUAAAUGUGAAGAUGAGGACAUUUUCCUGAGUAUUUGCGGGCUAUUCCCUUUGCUGGGGCAGCAGCGUGUGAUCAGCGGGAGUUUUUUUUUUUUUGGAGCAGAGGCAAGCGGUUCUCUGAGAGUUAUCAUUCAGCGUGUGAUAUCAGGCUCCGAGGCCCUCCAGCCAAACACCCGCCAGAGACGUCUCCUGCCGAUGUCCUAACACGCCAUGAAAUUAUAGGGCUCCUUGGCUAUUGUGAGAGAGCUGUUUGAAGUCUCAUUCUGACGGCACCCAUUCACUGCAGAGGAUCCAUUGGUGAGCAAGUGAUGUAAUGCUAAAUUUAUCCAAAUCUGUUCCGAUGAAGAAACAAACUCAUCUACACCUUGGAUAUCUUGAAGAGCGGCUCCAUUGAUCGGAGGAGCCAUUUCUCCUGUCGUGCAAACAUCUGGCUGGAGGCCCUGGUGUGUGCGGAGCAGGGGACAGAUGAGCUGUCGCUGUGUCUGACUGAUGAGGCUGGUCGCUAGAGGACGGUCACCAUGGAGAUAAUAGUAUAUCUUAUAGGACCACUGAGAGAGCGAGAAAGAGAGAGAAGGCUUGUCUUCAGCACAAUAAAUAUAAGAGGGUGAGGGGGUUGGGGGGAAUGUGACCCCCCUCAUCCGUCCCCUAGCCAAGGCUGGCCCCCAAGGACACCGCUGUGAGAUUGGCCACCAAUGGGACAGGAAAUCGAAGAAGAGCGAAGAGAAAGAAAAGGUGUGAUUUCACUAGCUAAAUUACCCACGGGACUGAUGAGAGAAACAAAUCAGCGAGUGAGAGUCCUGCAUCAAGGAGCCAAUAUCACAGCACAUCUCUUAGACUGAAAUAUGAGCCCAUCAUUGAACAAAAUACGGUGUUUCUGUACAAUGUCAUAACUUACACCACCAAAAAAAACAAAGCAUGAUUGAACAGGCAUAAAAUAACUUUGCCCUGACACCAUGAGCAAAUUGCGAGUGCUCGUGCUAUCGGAGAUAAACACUGGUGCGCCCUGCAACAUGCCCCAAU
Cyprinus carpio carpio is the source of this 1275-nucleotide long non-coding RNA. The record is from Ensembl. Lineage: Eukaryota; Metazoa; Chordata; Actinopteri; Cypriniformes; Cyprinidae.